RNAcentral lists this ribosomal RNA (465 nucleotides) under uncultured bacterium. Its description in RNAcentral is "partial 16S ribosomal RNA". It matches the Rfam family "Bacterial small subunit ribosomal RNA", at positions 338 to 795 of the family's 1533-position model. The record is from RNAcentral.
CCUACGGGUGGCUGCAGUAGGGAAUCUUCCACAAUGGGCGAAAGCCUGAUGGAGCACCGCCGCGUGGGUGAAGAAGGUCUUCGGAUCGUAAAACCCUGUUGUUAGAGAAGAAAGUGCGUGAGAGUAACUGUUCACGAUUCGACGGUAUAUAACCAGAAAGCCACGGCUAACUACGUGCUAGCAGCCGCGGUAAUACGUAGGUGGGAAGCGUUAUCCAGAUUUAUUGGGCGUAAAGGGAACGCCGGCGGUCGUUUAAGUCUGAUGUGAAAGCCUUCGGCUUAACCGGAGUAGUGCAUUGGAGACUUGGAGACUUGAGUGCAGAAGAGGAGAGUGGACCUCCAUGUGUAGCGGUGAAAUGCGUAGAUAUAUGGAAGAACACCAGUGGCGAAAGCGGCUCUCUGGUCUGUAACGGACGCUGAGGUUCGAAAGCGUGGGUAGCAAACAGGAUUAGAUACCCCAGUAGUC